Molecule: ribosomal RNA, 251 nt
Filed under: uncultured bacterium
Lineage: Bacteria
Description: partial 16S ribosomal RNA
Rfam family: Bacterial small subunit ribosomal RNA
Source: RNAcentral
UACGUAGGCAGCGAGCGUUGUUCGGAAUUACUGGGCGUAAAGAGUGUGUAGGCGGUGCUCUAAGUUCGGUGUGAAAUCUCCUGGCUCAACUGGGAGGGUGCGCCGGAAACUGGAGUGCUUGAGCGUGGGAGAGGAAAGCGGAAUUCCUGGUGUAGCGGUGAAAUGCGUAGAUAUCAGGAGGAACACCCUGUGGUGUAGACGGCUUUCUGGACCAUAGCUGACGCUGAGACACGAAAGCGUGGGUAGCAAAC